AAAACGACUCUCGGCAACGGAUAUCUAGGCUCUCGCAUCGAUGAAGAACGUAGCGAAAUGCGAUACUUGGUGUGAAUUGCAGAAUCCCGCGAAUCAUCGAGUUUUUGAACUCAAGUUGCGCCCGAAGCCUUUCGGCCAAGGGCACGUCUGCCUGGGUGUCACGU
This 164-nucleotide ribosomal RNA is filed under the name Quercus suber. Its description in RNAcentral is "5.8S ribosomal RNA". It matches the Rfam family "5.8S ribosomal RNA". From Rfam's summary of the family: 5.8S ribosomal RNA (5.8S rRNA) is a component of the large subunit of the eukaryotic ribosome. It is transcribed by RNA polymerase I as part of the 45S precursor that also contains 18S and 28S rRNA. The record is from RNAcentral. Lineage: Eukaryota; Viridiplantae; Streptophyta; Magnoliopsida; Fagales; Fagaceae.